RNAcentral lists this ribosomal RNA (251 nucleotides) under uncultured prokaryote. RNAcentral describes it as "partial 16S ribosomal RNA". It matches the Rfam family "Bacterial small subunit ribosomal RNA", at positions 525 to 775 of the family's 1533-position model. The record is from RNAcentral.
ACGAAGGGUGCAAGCGUUACUCGGAAUUACUGGGCGUAAAGCGUGCGUAGGUGGUUUGUUAAGUCUGAUGUGAAAGCCCUGGGCUCAACCUGGGAAUGGCACUGGAUACUGGCAAGCUAGAGUGUGGCAGAGGGUAGUGGAAUUCCUGGUGUAGCAGUGAAAUGCGUAGAGAUCAGGAGGAACAUCCGUGGCGAAGGCGACUGCCUGGGCCAACACUGACACUGAGGCACGAAAGCGUGGGGAGCAAACAG